UACGUAGGGGGCAAGCGUUAUCCGGAUUUACUGGGUGUAAAGGGAGCGUAGACGGCUGUGCAAGCCAGAUGUGAAAGCCCGGGGCUCAACCCCGGGACUGCAUUUGGAGCUGUGUAGCUGGAGUGUCGGAGAGGCAGGCGGAAUUCCUAGUGUAGCGGUGAAAUGCGUAGAUAUUAGGAGGAACACCAGUGGCGAAGGCGGCCUGCUGGACGAUGACUGACGUUGAGGCUCGAAAGCGUGGGGAGCAAACAGG
This 253-nucleotide ribosomal RNA is filed under the name uncultured bacterium. RNAcentral's name for it is "partial 16S ribosomal RNA". It matches the Rfam family "Bacterial small subunit ribosomal RNA", at positions 524 to 776 of the family's 1533-position model. The record is from RNAcentral.